RNAcentral lists this ribosomal RNA (492 nucleotides) under uncultured bacterium. RNAcentral describes it as "partial 16S ribosomal RNA". It matches the Rfam family "Bacterial small subunit ribosomal RNA", at positions 29 to 507 of the family's 1533-position model. The record is from RNAcentral.
AGUGAACGCUGGCGGUAGGCCUAACACAUGCAAGUCGAACGGCAGCACAGUAAGAGCUUGCUCUUACGGGUGGCGAGUGGCGGACGGGUGAGGAAUACAUCGGAAUCUACUUUUUCGUGGGGGAUAACGUAGGGAAACUUACGCUAAUACCGCAUACGACCUACCGGUGAAAGCAGUGGAUCUUCUGACCUUGCGCGAUUGAAUGAGCCGAUGUCGGACUAGCUAGUUGGCGGGGUAAAGGCCCACCAAGGCGACGAUACGUAGCCGGUCUGAGAGGAUGAUCAGCCACACUGGAACUUAGACACGGUCCAGACUCCUACGGGAGGCAGCAGUGGGGAAUAUUGGACAAUGGGCGGAAGCCUUAUCCAGCCAUACCGCGUGGGUGAAGGAGGCCUUCGGGUUGUAAAGCCGUUCUGUUGGGAAAGAAAAGCAGCAGGUUAAUACCCCGCUGUUCUGACGGUACCCAAAGAAUAAGCACCGGCUAACUUCGUG